Molecule: long non-coding RNA, 1242 nt
Filed under: Geospiza fortis (medium ground-finch)
Lineage: Eukaryota; Metazoa; Chordata; Aves; Passeriformes; Thraupidae
Description: lncRNA (ENSGFOG00000011071.1)
Source: RNAcentral
CAAAAAGGCCUCGACUCAUAGUGGGAAAAGACAAGAGAGGCUUUGGCUGGCUUUGGAUCCAGAAAACAGCUGCUGAUUAGAGUCUGCGUCUUCGGGCUGCAUUUAUUACAUAUUUUUCAGCAGCAGGGAUUCUAGGAGGAAGCUUCCGUUUGGGUUUCUUGAUCGUGGUUUAUUUUUAUUCAGAGGAAUAACAGAGGAAGGAUUUGUUCCGGCUGGAGCAUGCUCACAACCUGCAAGACCUCCCAUUAUUAAACUGCCUACUUUGGGCUUUAAUAUCCAUGUGGUAUUUUUUUGAUUUUUAUUAGCGUUAUUAUUAUUUGGCAGCGUGCAUCUGUCUAUUUUUUUUUUAAUUUUUUAAUAAUUUAUUCGGAGAGGAAGCUGAUCUCGCAAUGAGCUUUCUCCUUCCUUACUUGAAACAGGUGCUAAUGAAAGAAUGCAAAUAGCACCGGCUGAGCCGAACAUUUCAUAAAGAAGGGAACAGCCACCGACCCCAAGCGCUCCGGGAUCUGCCCGCUGGCCCCCGGCAAAGGCACCCUUUUCCUAUGAACACCUGAGUCUCCUCCACCUCUCAGAGGAUGCACCUGUAGCAGCCUUCACACAGACCAUUUCUACAAUUUAUCAAGACCAUUUCGACUCCUAAUCCUGGCUCUGAAGCACCUGCAGCCCGUCCCAGCCUGGUAUCUGCAGCAAUUUUAAAAUGUGGGAAAUACUUUUCCAAGGCUUUUGAACUCCAAAGUGGAACAGAAGGAAGACACAGGGGGACAUCCACCGUUCAGUGUUAUUUUCCUUGCACAGGAGAGAGAGAGAGAGAGAGAGAAGAAAAAACGGAUCUUUCUGAGAUGAGCACUAAAGUCUCAAGUUUUCAAAGGUUUGCAUAACAAACAAGAGACACAUUGUGGGUUGCAUCUUGACUUUGAAGGCUUGCCACUGUCAACUGAAAUAAAAUGGCAAGGUUUAAAGCCUUAACCAAGUUCACAAGGAAAAUAUUUGGACUGAAAGUUUUGGAAAGUUUUCUCUCUUUGAAGUAGUUUGUCAUGUGUUACCAAUGUGAACUUUAUUGACCUUGAAACGUUUUUUUUUUUGAAUCAAAUAGCAACUAGUGACACUUUAGUCAAAUCUUAAAUCAACAACCAUCUCCUGGCGGCUCCAGCUUCGUAGCAAAUGCAGGCAAAACAGGGAAUCUACAGAGGAGACCUUUAUUAUUCCUAAAUGAAGCCUGCCAAAACCUUCCCGAAAUAGCAU